AGAGUUUGAUCAUGGCUCAGGACGAACGCUGGCGGCGCGCCUAACACAUGCAAGUCGAACGGAGCUGAGAGGAGCUUGCUUUUCUUAGCUUAGUGGCGAACGGGUGAGUAACGUGUGAGUAACCUGCCCUGGAGUGGGGGACAACAGUUGGAAACGACUGCUAAUACCGCAUAAGCCCACGGAUCCGCAUGGAUCUGCGGGAAAAGGAUUUAUUCGCUUCAGGAUGGACUCGCGUCCAAUUAGCUAGUUGGUGAGGUAACGGCCCACCAAGGCGACGAUUGGUAGCCGGACUGAGAGGUUGAACGGCCACAUUGGGACUGAGACACGGCCCAGACUCCUACGGGAGGCAGCAGUGGGGGAUAUUGCACAAUGGGGGAAACCCUGAUGCAGCGACGCCGCGUGGAGGAAGAAGGUUUUCGGAUUGUAAACUCCUGUCGUUAGGGACGAUAAUGACGGUACCUAACAAGAAAGCACCGGCUAACUACGUGCCAGCAGCCGCGGUAAAACGUAGGGUGCAAGCGUUGUCCGGAAUUACUGGGUGUAAAGGGAGCGCAGGCGGACCGGCAAGUUGGAAGUGAAAACUAUGGGCUCAACCCAUAAAUUGCUUUCAAAACUGCUGGCCUUGAGUAGUGCAGAGGUAGGUGGAAUUCCCGGUGUAGCGGUGGAAUGCGUAGAUAUCGGGAGGAACACCAGUGGCGAAGGCGACCUACUGGGCACCAACUGACGCUGAGGCUCGAAAGCAUGGGUAGCAAACAGGAUUAGAUACCCUGGUAGUCCAUGCCGUAAACGAUGAUUACUAGGUGUUGGAGGAUUGACCCCUUCAGUGCCGCAGUUAACACAAUAAGUAAUCCACCUGGGGAGUACGACCGCAAGGUUGAAACUCAAAGGAAUUGACGGGGGCCCGCACAAGCAGUGGAGUAUGUGGUUUAAUUCGAAGCAACGCGAAGAACCUUACCAGGUCUUGACAUCCGAUGCAUAGCUUAGAGAUAAGUGAAGUCCUUCGGGACAUCGAGACAGGUGGUGCAUGGUUGUCGUCAGCUCGUGUCGUGAGAUGUUGGGUUAAGUCCCGCAACGAGCGCAACCCUUAUUGCCAGUUACUACGAAAGAGGACUCUGGCGAGACUGCCGUUGACAAAACGGAGGAAGGUGGGGAUGACGUCAAAUCAUCAUGCCCUUUAUGACCUGGGCUACACACGUACUACAAUGGCGUUUAACAAAGAGAAG
RNAcentral lists this ribosomal RNA (1223 nucleotides) under metagenome. RNAcentral describes it as "bacterial SSU rRNA". It matches the Rfam family "Bacterial small subunit ribosomal RNA", at positions 8 to 1249 of the family's 1533-position model. The record is from RNAcentral.